Long non-coding RNA from Perognathus longimembris pacificus (Pacific pocket mouse), 292 nucleotides. RefSeq lists it as uncharacterized. Lineage: Eukaryota; Metazoa; Chordata; Mammalia; Rodentia; Heteromyidae. The transcript is spliced from 4 exons. The record is from RefSeq and is a predicted model, not a curated record.
GGGUGGGGAUGUCACAAAACAAAAAAAAAAGAAACAAAAAAAAAGCCAACCAGGUUAGUGAGUGCUAAUAACAACUUGGCAGUCUUCUGUUUUUAUAGUUUUGUCUUUCUAAGCCUUAAGCUGAAGGCAUUUAACAUGGGUGCCUGUCAAUUGUGGGAGAAGUCUAGUCUCAGAAGCCAUCUGAAUGACCUCCUUUUGGUUUGGGGAGAACUGUAAGGGUGUUUAUUAGUCUAGGAAUUGUGUAAAGUGAUAUACCAAGGCAGUCCAGCCUGGUAAAGACAAAAUGGCCUCA